CGGUGACAAACCGGAGGAAGGUGGGGAUGACGUCAAGUCAUCAUGGCCCUUACGGCCUGGGCUACACACGUGCUACAAUGGUCGGUACAGAGGGUUGCCAAGCCGCGAGGGGGAGCUAAUCCCACAAAACCGAUCGUAGUCCGGAUCGCAGUCUGCAACUCGACUGCGUGAAGUCGGAAUCGCUAGUAAUCGCGAAUCAGAAUGUCGCG
RNAcentral lists this ribosomal RNA (209 nucleotides) under Pseudomonas sp. ICMP 8385. RNAcentral describes it as "partial 16S ribosomal RNA". It matches the Rfam family "Bacterial small subunit ribosomal RNA", at positions 1153 to 1361 of the family's 1533-position model. The record is from RNAcentral. Lineage: Bacteria; Pseudomonadati; Pseudomonadota; Gammaproteobacteria; Pseudomonadales; Pseudomonadaceae.